AGUGGAAUAGCUGGGUCAAAUGGUUGUUUCCUUUCUAAGUUUUCUAAGGAAUCUUCAUACUGCUUUUCAGAUUGGUUGCACCAAUUUGCAGUCCCACCAGCAAU
This 104-nucleotide microRNA precursor is filed under the name Marmota monax (woodchuck). Lineage: Eukaryota; Metazoa; Chordata; Mammalia; Rodentia; Sciuridae. The record is from RNAcentral.